UUUCUAUUUUUAGAUAUAUAUAUAUAUACAUAUAAUAACAAAUAUAAUUUCUUUUGGCAAAUAACAAAGUUAUUUACCAAUCCCAUCAAUAAUAAAAAAUUAUUUUAUUUAUAAUUAUUAAUUUUAUUGUUGCGAAUUGAGAUGAAAAAAUAUAAUUUAGUCAGUGCUUUUAAAUUCUAAAAUUCAACUCACUUAUAUUUGUAAGAUUAUCUAAAUAUAUUACUUUUCUUUAUACAAAAUUUUCAACUUUUAAAAGUUCAGAGAUUUUGAAUUUGGAGCACAA
RNAcentral lists this unclassified non-coding RNA (283 nucleotides) under Hevea brasiliensis (rubber tree). Lineage: Eukaryota; Viridiplantae; Streptophyta; Magnoliopsida; Malpighiales; Euphorbiaceae. The record is from RNAcentral.